RNAcentral lists this ribosomal RNA (305 nucleotides) under uncultured bacterium. RNAcentral describes it as "bacterial SSU rRNA". It matches the Rfam family "Bacterial small subunit ribosomal RNA", at positions 331 to 654 of the family's 1533-position model. The record is from RNAcentral.
UUUGGCCUCCGGGGGGCAGCAGUGGGGAAUAUUGCACAAUGGGGGAAACCCUUAUUCCGCGACGCCGCGUGCGCGAAGAAGUAGUUCGGUAUGUAAAGCUCUAUCAGCAGGGAAGAAAAAUGACGGUACCUGAGUAAGAAGCACCGGCUAAAUACGUGCCAGCAGCCGCGGUAAUACGUAUGGUGCAAGCGUUAUCCGGAUUUACUGGGUGUAAAGGGAGCGCAGGCGGUGCGGCAAGUCUGAUGUGAAAGCCCGGGGCUCAACCCCGGGACUGCAUUGGAAACUACCGAACUAGAGGGUCGGAG